This 491-nucleotide ribosomal RNA is filed under the name uncultured bacterium. Its description in RNAcentral is "partial 16S ribosomal RNA". It matches the Rfam family "Bacterial small subunit ribosomal RNA", at positions 29 to 507 of the family's 1533-position model. The record is from RNAcentral.
AGUGAACGCUGGCGGUAGGCCUAACACAUGCAAGUCGAACGGCAGCACAGUAAGAGCUUGCUCUUACGGGUGGCGAGUGGCGGACGGGUGAGGAAUACAUCGGAAUCUACUUUUUCGUGGGGGAUAACGUAGGGAAACUUACGCUAAUACCGCAUACGACCUACGGGUGAAAGCAGGGGAUCUUCGGACCUUGCGCGAUUGAAUGAGCCGAUGUCGGAUUAGCUAGUUGGCGGGGUAAAGGCCCACCAAGGCGACGAUCCGUAGCUGGUCUGAGAGGAUGAUCAGCCACACUGGAACUGAGACACGGUCCAGACUCCUACGGGAGGCAGCAGUGGGGAAUAUUGGACAAUGGCGCAAGCCUGAUCCAGCCAUACCGCGUGGGUGAAGAAGGCCUUCGGGUUGUAAAGCCCUUUUGUUGGGAAAGAAAAGCAGCAGGCUAAUACCCCGCUGUUCUGACGGUACCCAAAGAAUAAGCACCGGCUAACUUCGUG